Molecule: ribosomal RNA, 253 nt
Filed under: uncultured bacterium
Lineage: Bacteria
Description: partial 16S ribosomal RNA
Rfam family: Bacterial small subunit ribosomal RNA
Source: RNAcentral
UACGUAGGGGGCUAGCGUUGUCCGGAUUUAUUGGGCGUAAAGAGCGUGUAGGCGGCCAGGUAGGUCCGGUGUGAAAACUCGAGGCUUAACCUCGAGAUGUCAUCGGAAACCAUCUGGCUAGAGUCCGGAAGAGGAAAGUGGAAUUCACGGUGUAGCAGUGAAAUGCGUAGAUAUCGUGAGGAACACCAGAGGCGAAGGCGGUUACCUGGACAGUUACUGACGCUCAGGCACGAAAGCAUGGGGAGCAAAAGGG